RNAcentral lists this ribosomal RNA (253 nucleotides) under uncultured bacterium. Its description in RNAcentral is "partial 16S ribosomal RNA". It matches the Rfam family "Bacterial small subunit ribosomal RNA", at positions 524 to 776 of the family's 1533-position model. The record is from RNAcentral.
UACAUAGGGUGCAAGCGUUAAUCGGAAUUACUGGGCGUAAAGCGUGCGCAGGCGGUUUUGUAAGCCAGAUGUGAAAUCCCCGGGCUUAACCUGGGAAUGGCAUUUGGGACUGCAAGGCUCGAGUGCGGCAGAGGAGACUGGAAUUCCUGGUGUAGCAGUGAAAUGCGUAGAUAUCAGGAGGAACACCGAUGGCGAAGGCAGGUCUCUGGGCUGACACUGACGCUCAUGCACGAAAGCGUGGGGAGCAAACAGG